This 338-nucleotide long non-coding RNA is filed under the name Homo sapiens (human). Its description in RNAcentral is "long independently transcribed non-coding RNA 1682, transcript variant 3 (LINC01682)". The record is from RNAcentral. Lineage: Eukaryota; Metazoa; Chordata; Mammalia; Primates; Hominidae.
GAGCUGCCUUGGUGCUGUAAAGGUAAGAAAAUGGAGGCUCCCAGAGAUUUGACAACCUGCCCGCAGCAAUGACCAAAUCAGACUUGGUGCUAAGUCUGCACCUCCCCAAAGUCAGUGUGUUUGUAUGCUCUGCUGCCACUGCCCCCCGCUGGCCCUGCACAUGAUGUGAACCAUCAGGCAGACCUGGAGUUCUGUCUCCUGGGUGGGCUGCUUGCCAACACCAGGGUGGCUGGCCCCUGCCUGUGUCAGGUCCUGCAGUGUUGACUCUCUUCGUGUGAUGUUGGGCAGGUGGAGCUGGUUGUGCUGAGCCUGAGGAAACAUCCAAUGUGCCAAACUUU